UACGUAGGGGACAAGCGUUGUCCGGAUUUAUUGGGCGUAAAGCGCUCGCAGGUGGUUCGAUGCGUCGUGCGUGAAAGACCCCGGCUCAACUGGGGGGGGUCGUGCGAUACGGUCGAACUGGAGGCCAGUAGGGGGAUGCGGAAUUCCGGGUGUAGUGGUGGAAUGCGUAGAGAUCCGGAGGAACACCAGCGGCGAAGGCGGCAUCCUGGACUGGUCCUGACACUCAGGAGCGAAAGCGUGGGGAGCGAUCCGG
RNAcentral lists this ribosomal RNA (253 nucleotides) under uncultured bacterium. Its description in RNAcentral is "partial 16S ribosomal RNA". It matches the Rfam family "Bacterial small subunit ribosomal RNA", at positions 524 to 776 of the family's 1533-position model. The record is from RNAcentral.